Bradysia coprophila is the source of this 1157-nucleotide long non-coding RNA. Lineage: Eukaryota; Metazoa; Arthropoda; Insecta; Diptera; Sciaridae. The record is from RefSeq and is a predicted model, not a curated record.
AUAACUGUAUGAUCCGGAGCAUAUGUACCAGUAGUCGUGACACCUAUUGUUCUAUCCGUUGAUAAAAGUUUUUAUAAAUGAACGAACAAUCGAUGUGACUACUGGUUCAUAUCCGGUGACUGGUGUCACUAACCUAAGUUUGAAGAAAUCGUGAAAUCAAUACGAAAACAGUUCCUACAUUCCACCUUGUUCCAUUGGUGGUAAACAGGUAUGGCCGCGCUUAUCAAUUGAAUUUUUCUUUAUUCCAUGCAAUGACGAGCGACGAGUGACCGAAACGGCGACAGUAAUAGUUGUUAGUAUUUGUCGUCCAGUACUAGUUCAAUUAUUCAAAUUUUUAAUGGAUCUCUAGCAGCCAUUUAUUUAAAUUAAAAAAAAAAUGAGCACGCAACACAGCUAACCACAAUUCGUCGAAUUGUUUUUUGCUAUGAAAAAUUUGAUAAAUAAAAUUCGUUUCCAAUGAACGACGAUGGUUAUUUAAUGAAGCAAAAUGAAAUUUAAUCUCAAAAUAAGGAGUUACACGCAAUAACGAUCUCAAAUCCCUUUUUGUUUGUUUAUUUAUUUACGUGAGCGAAACAAAAUUGAACAACGUGAUGUGUACAUAAUUAACUACUCAUACUAAUGGGAAACUCUUGGAAAACACAGAAACGUCAUUAAAUGUUCGACCAUCAUUGACAGCUUAUUGUUCUUUCUUCGACGCUUGCACUUUGUAUUUACAUCGGAAGAGUCACUUCCACUUUUGCAAUUUUCUUUUUACAUGGGAAGACGCGAUGGAAAAACUCUUUGUUAAAUUCAAACGAAGAGAAGAAGAAUAAUUUACUCGCAUAAGCAACUUCAAUUAAAUGAUGCGCAAAUAUUUAACUGUAAAAUUAAAAAAUCUGUAAAAAAAAACAGUGUACACGGGUGAACACUCUCACCCCACACACAAACACAAAAUUUUUAAAAACAAAAAACCAGAAACAUUUUUGUAGUAUUUUUGUAAAGUGUAAAUUAUUAUCUAUUGAGAGGUGAAACAAAUGAACGAAGAAGAAGAGAGAGAGAGAGAGAGAGAGAAAUUUUGUUUAAAGAAAUUACUCGAAAAAUUGAAGCGCGUGUUGAACAUUAAUUGAAUUAUACAUGAGACCCUUCUACUAUAUAAUUAUGAUAUAAAAAGAAAGAAA